UGCCUGCUUCGCUGUGUCCUG
RNAcentral lists this microRNA (21 nucleotides) under Gallus gallus (chicken). RNAcentral describes it as "microRNA Ros-gga". Lineage: Eukaryota; Metazoa; Chordata; Aves; Galliformes; Phasianidae. The record is from RNAcentral.